CAGGACGUAACUAAGAAAGAAUAGUAUCUCACUUACACCGAGAAGUCCCCCGUGCAAAUCGGGGCGACCUGA
RNAcentral lists this transfer RNA (72 nucleotides) under Chascanopsetta lugubris (pelican flounder). RNAcentral's name for it is "tRNA-Val". It matches the Rfam family "tRNA". Rfam says of the family: Transfer RNA (tRNA) molecules are approximately 80 nucleotides in length. Lineage: Eukaryota; Metazoa; Chordata; Actinopteri; Pleuronectiformes; Bothidae. The record is from RNAcentral. RNAcentral also lists the same sequence under 1 other name.